Sinocyclocheilus rhinocerous is the source of this 151-nucleotide long non-coding RNA. RefSeq lists it as uncharacterized. Lineage: Eukaryota; Metazoa; Chordata; Actinopteri; Cypriniformes; Cyprinidae. The transcript has 3 exons. The record is from RefSeq and is a predicted model, not a curated record.
ACCCCAGCAAGACGGCGUCUGAUGAGAGAUUUUAAACGUCUCCAGGAGGAUCCACCAGCAGGAGUUAGCGGAGCCCCGUCGGAAAACAACAUCAUGGUCUGGAACGCUGUCAUUUUUGGCCCUGAAGGAACACCCUUUGAAGAUGGUAAGU